AGCUUUGUGCAGUGGCAGUAUCAUAGCCAAUGAGGUUUUUGCGAGACGCGAUUAUUGCUAAUUAAAUUUUAAAAAAGAAAAUACAGAGAUACAGAUAUAUCUGCACACAUUGGGAGGCUGAGGCAGGAGGAUCGCUGUAAAUUUGAGGCCCUUCUUAAAAGAC
This 163-nucleotide small nuclear RNA is filed under the name Chinchilla lanigera (long-tailed chinchilla). Its description in RNAcentral is "U4 spliceosomal RNA (ENSCLAG00000020688.1)". It matches the Rfam family "U4 spliceosomal RNA". From Rfam's summary of the family: U4 small nuclear RNA (U4 snRNA) is a component of the major U2-dependent spliceosome. Lineage: Eukaryota; Metazoa; Chordata; Mammalia; Rodentia; Chinchillidae. The record is from Rfam by way of RNAcentral.